This 372-nucleotide unclassified non-coding RNA is filed under the name uncultured Prolixibacteraceae bacterium. RNAcentral describes it as "contains 16S-23S intergenic spacer region". The record is from RNAcentral. Lineage: Bacteria; Pseudomonadati; Bacteroidota; Bacteroidia; Marinilabiliales; Prolixibacteraceae.
UCACACCUUACGGUGGCAGUCUCGCUAGAGUCCCCGGCUUGACCCGCUGGCAACUAACGAUAAGGGUUGCGCUCGUUAUGGGACUUAACCCGACACCUCACGGCACGAGCUGACGACAACCAUGCAGCACCUUGAAGAACGUCCGAAGAAGGCAACCUUUCGGCUGCUGUCGUUCCCCAUUUAAGCCCAGGUAAGGUUCCUCGCGUAUCAUCGAAUUAAACCACAUGUUCCUCCGCUUGUGCGGGCCCCCGUCAAUUCCUUUGAGUUUCAACCUUGCGAUCGUACUCCCCAGGUGGAUCACUUAAUGCUUUCGCUUGGCCGCAUACUGUGUAUCGCAUACAGCGAGUGAUCAUCGUUUACGGCGUGGACUAC